UCCGCAGGCCAGUGGCUAUUCCGUCCGCUUCACACGCGGAAGGUCGCUGGUUCGAUCCCAGCCGGGACCA
Molecule: transfer RNA, 70 nt
Filed under: Mycobacterium kansasii
Lineage: Bacteria; Bacillati; Actinomycetota; Actinomycetes; Mycobacteriales; Mycobacteriaceae
Description: tRNA-Val
Rfam family: tRNA
About the family: Transfer RNA (tRNA) molecules are approximately 80 nucleotides in length. Their secondary structure includes four short double-helical elements and three loops (D, anti-codon, and T loops).
Source: RNAcentral